Molecule: ribosomal RNA, 472 nt
Filed under: uncultured bacterium
Lineage: Bacteria
Description: bacterial SSU rRNA
Rfam family: Bacterial small subunit ribosomal RNA
Source: RNAcentral
UGGGGAAUAUUGGACAAUGGGGGCAACCCUGAUCCAGCGAUGCCGCGUGUGUGAAGAAGGCCUGAGGGUUGUAAAGCACUUUUGUUGGGGAGGAUUGCUGUUGGCUUAAUAGGCCAAACAGUUGACGUUACCCAAAGAAUAAGCACCGGCUAACUUCGUGCCAGCAGCCGCGGUAAUACGAAGGGAGCUAGCGUUGUUCGGAAUCACUGGGCGUAAAGCGCACGUAGGUGGGCAGUUAAGUCAGGGGUGAAAGCCCGAGGCUCAACCUCGGAAUUGCCUCUGAUACUGGCUGUCUAGAGUUCGAGAGAGGUGAGUGGAAUUCCUAGUGUAGAGGUGAAAUUCGUAGAUAUUAGGAAGAACACCGGUGGCGAAGGCGGCUCACUGGCUCGAUACUGACACUGAGGUGCGAAAGCGUGGGGAGCAAACAGGAUUAGAUACCCCAGUAGUCCCUGAGCGGGCUGGCAAGGCGCAU